AAGUGACGCGGUAGAGGAGCGUUCUGUAAGCCUGUGAAGGUGAGUUGAGAAGCUUGCUGGAGGUAUCAGAAGUGCGAAUGCUGACAUGAGUAACGACAAUGGGUGUGAAAAACCCCCACGCCGAAAGACCAAGGGUUCCUGCGCAACGUUAAUCGACGCAGGGUUAGUCGGUUCCUAAGGCGAGGCUGAAAAGCGUAGUCGAUGGGAAACAGGUUAAUAUUCCUGUACUUCUGGUUACUGCGAUGGAGGGACGGAGAAGGCUAGGCCAGCUUGGCGUUGGUUGUCCAAGUUUAAGGUGGUAGGCUGAAAUCUUAGGUAAAUCCGGGGUUUCAAGGCCGAGAGCUGAUGACGAGUCGUCUUUUAGAUGACGAAGUGGUUGAUGCCAUGCUUCCAAGAAAAGCUUCUAAGCUUCAGGUAACCAGGAACCGUACCCCAAACCGACACAGGUGGUCGGGUAGAGAAUACCAAGGCGCUUGAGAGAACUCGGGUGAAGGAACUAGGCAAAAUGGCACCGUAACUUCGGGAGAAGGUGCGCCGGCUAGGGUGAAGGAUUUACUCCGUAAGCUCUGGCUGGUCGAAGAUACCAGGCCGCUGCGACUGUUUAUUAAAAACACAGCACUCUGCAAACACGAAAGUGGACGUAUAGGGUGUGACGCCUGCCCGGUGCCGGAAGGUUAAUUGAUGGGGUUAGCGCAAGCGAAGCUCUUGAUCGAAGCCCCGGUAAACGGCGGCCGUAACUAUAACGGUCCUAAGGUAGCGAAAUUCCUUGUCGGGUAAGUUCCGACCUGCACGAAUGGCGUAACGAUGGCGGCGCUGUCUCCACCCGAGACUCAGUGAAAUUGAAAUCGCUGUGAAGAUGCAGUGUAUCCGCGGCUAGACGGAAAGACCCCGUGAACCUUUACUGUAGCUUUGCACUGGACUUUGAGCCUGCUUGUGUAGGAUAGGUGGGAGGCUUUGAAGCGUGGACGCCAGUUCGCGUGGAGCCAUCCUUGAAAUACCACCCUGGCAUGCUUGAGGUUCUAACUCUGGUCCGUAAUCCGGAUCGAGGACAGUGUAUGGUGGGCAGUUUGACUGGGGCGGUCUCCUCCUAAAGAGUAACGGAGGAGUACGAAGGUGCGCUCAGACCGGUCGGAAAUCGGUCGCAGAGUAUAAAGGCAAAAGCGCGCUUGACUGCGAGACAGACACGUCGAGCAGGUACGAAAGUAGGUCUUAGUGAUCCGGUGGUUCUGUAUGGAAGGGCCAUCGCUCAACGGAUAAAAGGUACUCCGGGGAUAACAGGCUGAUACCGCCCAAGAGUUCAUAUCGACGGCGGUGUUUGGCACCUCGAUGUCGGCUCAUCACAUCCUGGGGCUGAAGCCGGUCCCAAGGGUAUGGCUGUUCGCCAUUUAAAGUGGUACGCGAGCUGGGUUUAGAACGUCGUGAGACAGUUCGGUCCCUAUCUGCCGUGGACGUUUGAGAUUUGAGAGGGGCUGCUCCUAGUACGAGAGGACCGGAGUGGACGAACCUCUGGUGUUCCGGUUGUCACGCCAGUGGCAUUGCCGGGUAGCUAUGUUCGGAAAAGAUAACCGCUGAAAGCAUCUAAGCGGGAAACUUGCCUCAAGAUGAGAUCUCACUGGGAACUUGAUUCCCCUGAAGGGCCGUCGAAGACUACGACGUUGAUAGGCUGGGUGUGUAAGCGUUGUGAGGCGUUGAGCUAACCAGUACUAAUUGCCCGUGAGGCUUGACCAU
This 1728-nucleotide ribosomal RNA is filed under the name Pseudomonas aeruginosa BWH054. Its description in RNAcentral is "bacterial LSU rRNA". It matches the Rfam family "Bacterial large subunit ribosomal RNA", at positions 1218 to 2925 of the family's 2925-position model. Lineage: Bacteria; Pseudomonadati; Pseudomonadota; Gammaproteobacteria; Pseudomonadales; Pseudomonadaceae. The record is from RNAcentral.